This 468-nucleotide ribosomal RNA is filed under the name uncultured bacterium. RNAcentral's name for it is "partial 16S ribosomal RNA". It matches the Rfam family "Bacterial small subunit ribosomal RNA", at positions 28 to 507 of the family's 1533-position model. The record is from RNAcentral.
GACGAACGCUGGCGGCGUGCUUAACACAUGCAAGUCGAACGGAAAGGCCCUGCUUUUGUGGGGUGCUCGAGUGGCGAACGGGUGAGUAACACGUGAGUAACCUGCCCUUGACUUUGGGAUAACUUCAGGAAACUGGGGCUAAUACCGGAUAGGAGCUCCUGCUGCAUGGUGGGGGUUGGAAAGUUUCGGCGGUUGGGGAUGGACUCGCGGCUUAUCAGCUUGUUGGUGGGGUAGUGGCUUACCAAGGCUUUGACGGGUAGCCGGCCUGAGAGGGUGACCGGCCACAUUGGGACUGAGAUACGGCCCAGACUCCUACGGGAGGCAGCAGUGGGGAAUAUUGCACAAUGGGCGGAAGCCUGAUGAAGCAACGCCGCGUGCGGGAUGACGGCCUUCGGGUUGUAAACCGCUUUCGCCUGUGACGAAGCGUGAGUGACGGUAAUGGGUAAAGAAGCACGGGCUAACUACGUG